UCAGCAAUACCUAGAGAGAGGGAGUGAUAGGAGACUGGAUCAAGAAGCUUUCUUGUUUCCCCAUCGCGCUUCUUGCUUCAUCCUCGUCUGACGCCGGCCACCGUGAGUACUCCUGCCCGCAAGUUCUUCUUCCUCGUUCAGCUUCCCUGGAUCUCUGUCUCCCCUGUUUUCAUUGUGCUGUACCGGUAUGAUUGAUGGGGAAAGCUCGACUUCUUCCUUUCUUCCUCCUCCUUUGUCCGUUUCAUUAGCCACCGGUAAUUAUGGUGCGGCUAUCGUCGCUUAUAGAGGCAAAGCUCGUGAUUUUCCUUCCCUUCCCCUGCUUCACGUUGUCAGCCGUGGACAGCAUCUUCUUCCGUUUUGUUCUGGGUUGAUGUUGUUGUUGAUUUGAGGUCAGGUCCUUGUCCUAGAAUACAUGACCCAAAAUUGAAAGAAAAGUGUGAAAUCAUAUUCAUUAUAUUCAUAUGUAAUAUAGUGUUUUGUGAAUGAAUAGUAUCAAAUUUUUAAAUUGUUAAGUUGCAUGAGUCUUGCUGCAGUUACUCACGUACAUUUUUCCCUUGUUUAAACUUGAUCAUAUUUACAUGAAAUUUUCUUUUUGGGUCUUGGAUUGAGCUUCUCUAUGUGCUUAUAUCAUGGAAGUCCGUGCAUCCUGUUUGUAUGUGAUUAUCUUUCUAAUAUGUUUUGAGCUUAAUGUCUCCCUCUUCCCAAUAUUGUUUGGUGAUAAUAUAACUUAUACUUGGAAAGUAAGGGUAGGAAGAGAUCAAGAAUAAGGAGGAUAAAACAUAUUUCCUUUUUCAUUAUACCCCAGAACCAACAGAAAUGGCAGUACUGAACAUUUAUCUUGUGUCUUAGGGCAUUUGCAAUAGCUUACCCUUAGGACGCCAACAGCACAGCACAGCCAAUUUAUUCAAAUAGUACAGUCUGAUCAUAACUGAAGAGACUAUUUUUGGACCUUGGGAAUUCUGUCGUUCCUUCCAACCCUCUCCAUAACAAUGAAAAGUGGAGCAUCCCUUAUUUCCUUUUCUUUUCAAGUCAGAACAAUCCCAAUCAAAGGUCAUCAGUCUUUGCAAUCCACAUUUCUUCAAUUAGACUAAACAACCUUGUUGAUACAUUUUAUGAAAGGUUUUUCCUUUUUGAAACCAUAAGAUCACAUGUUAGGUGACAAUAUCGGUUUGAUAUUAGUAAAUGGGAUGGUAUAGAAUUGAUCUUCAAGUACUGUGUACCUAACAAGGCUACAUUUUUUUUUUUUGGGGGGGCCUAAAAUCAACUAGUUUAUUUGAUGGGCUUUUUACCUGGGCUCCAUUCAUUUAUUUAGCUUUUGCAAUGUGAGGAAUUGGGAACUGUGAUAUCUUUGGGGCUGCGUAUCUAGUUUGUGAUUUGGAAUUGUCAAUUGGAGUACUUGAUUGGGAAUAUACUUAGCUACUUGUCAGUUUUUUCAAAAGUUGUGGACUUGUGGUGGUUUAUUGCUUUGUUUCCCAAUGUAUUUACAGGUUGUGGAUAUUAUCCUUAACAACGAAAAUGGAAAUUAUUGAACUUAAAGCAUGUGUUUUGCACUAAACUCAUCUUUUAAUGACUUUUUUAAGAAAAACCAUGGGAUAUACAAUACUAUUGGUGAUUUGUAAUGAAGCAACCUUUAUGCAUGGCAUCAUAUACUCUGCCUCAGGGCUGACCAGAGUUCAUCAUUCAUAUUGUAGGUAGCAAGUGCUUGGUGCUUUUAAUGUAUAAUAUCUUACAUCAUUAACUCAUUCCCCUCUCUUUAUAUAUUUAUAUUGUAACAUAGAUGUAUUGAUUUUUUUCCCAAGAUGUUCUUAUCCUGCAAUCAUUAUUGAAUAAUAUGCAGAAUGCUAUGUCAGAUAUAUAAUCAUAAUUGAUUUGUUUCUAAGGAAGCUUUUGAACUCAAAUAGUGACAUUUUACAUUCUAACCAAGAGCAGCUACAGGCAGAUGCCGGUAUUUGUUGACAUGAAACUAAAAUUUGUUAUCUUUGCAAACAUUAAAUAGUAAUGAAACAUGUAAUAUUAAAUUUAUCAGAGUAGUGCAGCAAAAGCGUGGAGUGCGUUUGAACCCUAUGGGUUGAUAGCCAUCUUAAUGGUAGAUAUGGGCUUUUGUCCAUGUAUUCCGUGCCCAGUCACAUCCUAUUUUUUUGGGCAUGACAAAACUAGCUAGUUUCUAUUCCUUCAUUUGACACUUAUGAAUUUUGAUUUAUAAUUAUAUUUUGAUAUAUUUUUUCAAUUAUAUUAUCUCUUUUGUUCUUCAUGAGAUGUUAUACUUGAUACUUAACAUAUAAUUUAUGAGUAAACUUGAUGGAUUGAGAGGGGAAGAGUAAGCCAUAGUUUGAUUAGGAGUUUGGGUUGCACAAGAAUAAAUCAAUCCUACAUAAAUAGGGAGUAAUUAGUUGAGAGGUAGUUAGGACACUCACUAUACUUGAUAGAGUCAAUUUUAAGUGUAGAAAUUAGUAACCUAUACGGUAGAUCCUGAACACGAAUGCUUCUAUUGAUUGGAAUCUCUCUCUCUCUCUCUCUCUACACACACACACACACACACACACACACACAUAUUUAUUUAUUUAUUAGUGAUUUUUAUUAUUUGUUAUUUUCUUCUGUAAUUCUCGAUUCAAAAAUUAAUCAAAAUAGAAAAAUCUUCGUCUA
Prosopis cineraria is the source of this 2643-nucleotide long non-coding RNA. RefSeq lists it as uncharacterized. The transcript has 2 exons. NCBI's taxonomy places the organism in Eukaryota, Viridiplantae, Streptophyta, Magnoliopsida, Fabales, Fabaceae. The record is from RefSeq and is a predicted model, not a curated record.